GCUGCUACUUCCAAUGAGCCACAACACACAGAAGGUAAUGUGACUGGGGUACAAAAUCAUCUAAUCACGGCAUGAAUCUGGAAACAUUUAAAGUUUAUGUGUAAUUAAUGGACUUAUUAUGAUUAGCUCUAUAUGGACAGAUACCUUUUUCUUCAAAUUCUGACAAGUUAAAACGGAUGUAAGAAGAAUUUGAAAUAUCGGCUGCCUUUUUCUGGAUCUCAGUUGCCAGUGGUGAUGGGGGUUUUAGCUGCGCCCUGGGCUGACCUGGCUCUGUUCUUCAGACACUUGACUGACUCAGGCUCAGGGGAGGGCAUCCUGUUUCCUCUGGGCCUCUGUGGACUUGUGCUGUUUGUCUCAGUAUGUCUCAUUCUCCUCCAGCUCAUCAUUUACUUUCACUGGAAACUCAGACAGGUUGAAACAGAGUUGUCGAUUACCCUGAAGAGGAGCGCCCUCAACAGGUCAACCCCCAGAAGUGCAGACUGUAAGAGCAAGAUUUUAUGAUGUCUCACCUGCAAUGGAUUUACAUUACAACUGUCUGCAAAGCAGCGUUUUAUGUUUGGAAUAAGCAAAGGCAAAAAUGUGGCUUUUAGGGCACAUUUAUGGACAUGUUUGAGAAACCUGCUGGAUAUGUUACUUUUUGAACGACUAUUGCACAUAAAUAUAAACCUGUACACUUGUAUGUUACAGCCAUUUUCCUAGUAUUCCUAAAAUACUAGUUUGGCCCAUGUAAUAUUUUCUUUUUGAGAAUGUAAUAUUUUCUUGAGUUUUCCAUGCAACUCCAAA
This is a long non-coding RNA of Periophthalmus magnuspinnatus, 783 nucleotides long. RefSeq lists it as uncharacterized. Lineage: Eukaryota; Metazoa; Chordata; Actinopteri; Gobiiformes; Gobiidae. The record is from RefSeq and is a predicted model, not a curated record. The transcript has 3 exons.